UUGGGAGACAGGGAGGGCUCCGACUGCAUAUACAAACUCAGCCAUGACUGAUUCGCUAAAAUUUCUCUAUUAAAUUUAUCUCUGCACGUUCCUUGAGAGAGAAACCCCAGAGCACUUUAGGAGGACAAGAGGUGAUAGAGCAGAGAGAAAAAUCAGCUUCUUCCCCUUUUUGUAAGCAGGAAACCCAAGUCCCCAACUCCACGCCUAACAUAUAUGUGGCUCCAGUCAACGAUGAAUUUCUACAUUUUGGCAACGGUCAGAGUGAAAGUAGUCGCACUAUCUAUAGAAACUUUGAGAUGGAGAACACUUGAGUAUGCUACUGAAAAUGCAAGAAACACAUUUUGAAAGGAUGAAAUAAUAUCACUGAGUGACAGUAAAUUAACAUGCUGACAUUUGCAGACUUUCAGAGCAUUGCCAUAAAAAGAAGUAAUACAACAUGACUAAUUUGGACUUCUUCUUUCUUCCUUCCUAGGGAGAGACAGCCCUGCCCCUCCAAGGCCACCCUGCAGGCUUUGUCUACCAGGCACUUCCUCCUCUCUCCCAGGAAGCACGUGUGACUCUAACACUCCCUUGCGCUCCCACGUUGCCUCUUGGAGAUUCUAGGGGAGAAGGCGGUUUUGACUUCUGUGAUUCGAAGAUGCUCUCCCAAACAGCAGAAGGAUGUUGCUUGGCUGGCAGUGGGCACACAUGCUGGCCACUGCCCAGAUCCCCUGGCUGGUAGGGUGCCAGGGUUGGGAGAGUCCUCCCACACCCCUGAGCACCACGGCACUCAUGGGGAGACUGAGGCACAGACAGGCUGUGCAUUCCCAGCUCGCUCUGCUUGCUCCUGGACCAAGUAUCCAACCUGGAAAGUCCUCCCAGUGGAAAUAGGCAUUCUCUCAGCCUCCCAGCGCAGGGAGGAAUAGGAAAGGGCCCUUCUUAGAGCCAGCACAGUGCUUGGCACAUGGAAAGCACCUGGUUAACUUUGCUAAAGAAAAAUGAUUCUCCAAAGCCCCUUAGCGAGGGCCCUCCCACUCAACCUCUCCUUUCCUCAGAAGCCUGGCCUCCACUAGAGGCCAUUCUCUCUGGAGCAGGAUGCUGCUUUGUCCUCAGAGCUGUGCUUCCCAGCAUCAGAGUGUCUCUGCCUCUUAAGCCCCCAGGGCGCCCCCUGGCUCAAUCACUCACUCCUGAGGCCCCCUGGGCAAACAUCUGUCAUGACUUGUGUUGCAAUCUGCUUACAGGUGAGUCUCUACCCGCGCCCGGGAGCAGCUGGGGGCUGCGCCUUUCUCUCUGGCACCUGGCACAGGGCCUGGCAGAGUAGGUGUGGCCAGGUGGGCGGCAUGUGCGCGGAAGCCCUGUGUGGAUACACCCAGCUGUAAAGGGAGGCUCCACCGUGCCGAGUCCCGGGUGAAGCCCUGUCCAUUCAUAGCUACAUUCCAUCCCACAGCCAUCCAACGGGGUGGGAGCCCCUUUGUAAACUUAUCCCACCCACAAAGGGGAAAGAAACAGCCUCAAGAUGACAGCAGUGCCAAGACCAUGGUAGUUCUGGUGGAGAAUGGCCUUGCUGAGGUCUGGGCACCCCCAAAUCUGGAGCUGUUCCUGGCUCUCUUCUCAGAGCUCCUCUGCCCUGACUGGCCCAUCACCCCUGCCCCAGGCAGUCCCCUCCCCCACGACGUGGGUCCAGUCUAGGCUUCUUCCUAUGACCAUGAAGAGAAGAGGGACAGCCUGACUCGUCUCCCAACAGCAGCCCCUGUGGAUGCAGACACAGGGCUGGGCUCCGAGGCCCCUGGGUGCCUGGUUCUCUCAGGGAGACUGGGCCCAGGCAUCUCCUUCAGAUGCAGUGAUAUGCUCCAGGAUUCCUAAGCAGGAGGAGUUUCCCAUCCACGGCCGAGAAGGAUAGAGAAUUCGCCUGUGUACCCCUCUGCCGCCACCAUCCCUGUUGAUGGGCAAGAUGCCAUCCUGGACACCCAGGAGCUCUGUAGUGACCAUGAUGCCCAAACCACACACUUCCAGGAGGGGAGCAGCUGUGGUGACAGGUGGCGAUGGAUGGGGCUGGAGUAGGAGGUGCUGGCAUCCACCCCGUGGCCCAGCUGAGCUGCGGAGAAAGGGCACAGCACCUCUGGGCCGUGGGGGAAGCUUGGUGACUCAGAUAGAGGGCCAGGUGGGAUUCCGAGGGAGACACAAGUCCCCCAGGCCAUCGACAAGGUUGUUCUGGAGACAGCACAUUUCUGCAACAUGGCGAGUGACGAGAAGGGCUCAGAGUGUCUGGGGACUCAAGGCCACCCCCCUAUAACAGCAGAAGUGUCAGUUCAGACAGAGUGAGCAGAGCAGCAUGGUCCUCAGAGAGCAGAACAUUAAGCCCCCUCCCAGCUCUAGGAGCAGCAUUUUACUACAACUGGGGGUCCUCACCCCAGAUGUGUGCUGUUUGGAUUAACCACCACCUGCUGCUGGCCAAUGAACCGUAACAAAACUAUUUAACCCAACAGCAUCCAUACUUAUAACAAUAGCUUUUACUAUAAAACUAGGAAUGAGGGUUGAGGGGAGCUCAGAAAGCUCUGGUACUUUCGGUUGAUGUCCCCACUUACAGCAGACAGGAAAUUUCAUCCUUUGAUUUCCCAUCUUGCCGUCAGUGGAGUUGUUAGUAAAACAGGGAGCUCAAGAGCAGAUUUUUGAUGGCCUUUCCCAAGGGCCCCAGGCCCUGACCUAAGAGGGAACCCAGACCUUCCCACCUUCCCGAGUUAUGAGACAGUGGGCUGACACCUGUUUCCUCCCCUUGAUGAUGACUUCUCACCCUCUCCUGCUGAGACAUCUGUCUGGUCCCACAUGAUCCAGGUGUUGCCUGCUGACUUUCAGACUCCGUAGUCCUUCCUGGCAGGCCUGAAUUUAGGUGGGUCCUGUCCCUGAAGUUCCCCUUUGGCUCCUGGAGAGCGUAGGGAUUAGGGCAGUGAGUGGAGUCACUGUGACCUUUGGAACACAGCCUCGCUCCUGCUAGCCUGGGAGGUGAACCCACCACCUUUGACUGUAGUUGCCCAGAACAGGUCAGAGCCCAGGUGAGUCACACAGCAGCUGUAGGGCAAGAACAAGAACUUGAACUCCACGCAUCCAAAAUGUGGGGGAGCAGAGAUCACUUGCCUUGUUGAACAGGAUCCGUUUACAAGGGCCAGAGUGCAGAAAUGCGUCCAUUGUGGAAACACAAAGCCACCGAAAUAUGAAAGCCAGCCCUCAGCCGCCUCUCAGAGGGAGCGAGCCCCAGCGUGUUUUGUUUCCACCCUGGGGAUCUGGCCGGUGCACGGCCCUGCCAGGCUGGCAACCCAGCUGGGGCUCGGUUCCCAGCAUCUCACAGUUUCACUGCACCUGUGCGGCAUAGCUUUGUGGUGAUUCAUUCCCGCCUCCUCCUUGGCCUCGCUGUGCCCCGGACCCAAGAGGGAGCGGCCCAAGGCACCCGGUUCGCACUGGGCAUCCCCGAGGAGGCGUGUCCUAGAAGCCCUCCCUUUGUCCUCUUGCAAGUGGGGCCCUGGGGACAAUGAAGCCAGGUGGAGCUUGCUGGUGGGUCUCGGGAACCCAGUGGUUAGCUGGGUCACCCUUUCUCCCAGUCGAAACCCAUGAGAUUCCCAGGACCAGGCUGACUGCGUCCCUAGAUCCUUGCAGCAGAAUUAGCGCAGGAGUCCCCUUGUUCUGCAGAUGUGGGGCUGGGAGUGGUGCUCAGAGAAGGGCAGGAGCUCCCUCUGCUUCAGUCACAACACACUGGGCUCUCUCUGAACCUCCAGGUCCUGCAGCUGAACACAGAUUUGUCUGCAAAUCUGGGUAACAGAAUGAACUUAAUUUGGUGAUUACACUGGUAGGCUCUGUUGCCAUCCUCGCUGGGAAAUGUCCACACAUUUCAGAGAUGGAAAGUUAGCCCCCUCUGCAUGUCUAGCCCUUCCCACAUGGUGUAUUUUCAGGCCCUUUCCACUUGCACGUGGAUGUAGAAGUUCACUAUCACUGUGAGCUCAUAUGUGCACCAGGCGGCUAUGUCCACACACGCAUAGACACUGGUUUUUUUUUUUUUCCACAAAAUGUAGUCAUCUUGCACAUAUUGUUGAUGACGUGCCAUUCUCACUGUGAGCCCUGCGGAGGAGCUGAGUUUGGGACCACUUACAUUCCCAACUAUUUCUCCAUCAAGGGCAUUACAGCAGCUUUCCUUUUUUGGUCCUUCUCUUCUUUCCUUGUCAUCUUCUCUCUCUCUGCCUCCUUCUCUCUGUUUCUCUCUCUCUCCUUCGCCCUCCCCAUGCAAUUAUAAUCAGCACUGAGGGUAUAUCCUUGAAUGUACAUUGCUCUGCACACCUGCUAUGCAGUCCCCUAACAGGGACUGAGCUAGAACAAAGGGACAGUCAUUUAACAUUUGAUGCCCUGUUUUGUCACCCUCCAAAAAGUCCACGUGUGUUUUACAAACUUUAACUUUUGCAUCCUAACAACUUACAUCACCAGUAUGUUGGAGGCAACCCAUAGGUGAUAGCUAAAGGCCCUUGAAUGGCCAUGAUUAUCUCCAUCCUAGGACCCGUAGGGAAUACACCCUGGGUACAGCUGUAACAUCCUCGCACUGAUACAUGCGUAGUAUUAGGGACUGUUUUUGUUAAACUGAAUAAGAGAGCAUUUAAACUGCUCUAUGACUCUAAAAAGAUCUGUAUACUACACAUCUCUAUAAAAGUCUAUGUUUUUAUUUAAGAAUUUGUAUGUGUAGGGAAAAAUAAAAUAAAUACGGUUAGUAUUUUUAAAUAUUUACCUAACAUACAUUAUCUUGUUGAAACCCCAUCAUGGUCUUUUGGGACUGAUACAGUUAUUACUCACUGUUUACAGAUGAAGACAUGGCAGUGUUCUGAAUGAAGUGAAGUGGAAGUCACUCAGUCAUUUCCGACUCUUGGUGACCCAAGAAUUCUCCAGGCCAGAAUACUGGAAUGGGUAGCCUUUCCCUCCUCCAGGGGAUUUUCCCAACCCAGGGAUCGAACCCAGGUCUCCCGCACUGCAGGCAGAUUCUUUACCAGCUGAGCCACCAGGGAAGCCCAAGAAUACUGGAGUGGGUAGCCUAUCCGUUCUCCAGGGGAUCUUCCCAACCCAGGAGUCAAACUGGGGUCUCCUGCAUUGUAGGCAGAUUCUUUACCAACUGAGCUAUGAGGGAAGCCCUGAAUAUUUGAGGUGGUCCCCAAAGAUGACCGCAACCCAACCUGUAGAACCUGUAAAUCUUAAUUUUCUUGGAAAAAAAGGGUCUUUGCAGAGAUAAGUUAAGGGCCUUGAGACACAGGAAUCAUCCCAGGUUAUCCAGUGUGCCCUAACUCCAGUGACAAGUGUCCUGGGGAGAUGACACAGAGAGAAGAAGGCCACGCAAAGGCAGAGGCAGAGAGUGGAGUGAUGUGGCCACAAGCCCAGAAAUGCCAGCAGUCACCAGAAACUGAAAGAGGCAAGAAACAGAUGCUCCCCUAGAGAGCCCCUGCAGAUGCCUUGCUUCCUGACUUCUAGUCUCUGGAAUUGCGAGAUAGUGUGUGUUUGUUGUUCUAAGGCACUGAGUUUGUACAAAUUGAUGAUGGCAGCCCUAGGACACUAAUGCAGACCCUGAGGCUUGGUGGGGUCAGUGGGCGAGGGCUCUGCCAUGAGCUCAGCUGCCCGGGGUGUUCAGGUGGAAGGAUAGGUGAGAGCCGCAAGGCCUGGAGAAGCUGGCUGUGCCUCAGGAGUCCUCUGGGGCCCACUGU
Long non-coding RNA from Bos grunniens (domestic yak), 5702 nucleotides. The record is from Ensembl. NCBI's taxonomy places the organism in Eukaryota, Metazoa, Chordata, Mammalia, Artiodactyla, Bovidae.